UACGGAGGGUGCAAGCGUUGUUCGGAAUUACUGGGCGUAAAGGGCGCGUAGGCGGACUUGUAAGUUAGAAGUGAAAGCCCCGGGCUCAACCUGGGAAUAGCUUUUAAAACUGCAGGGCUUGAGGACGAGAGAGGAAAGUGGAAUUCCUAGUGUAGAGGUGGAAUUCGUAGAUAUUAGGAAGAAUACCGGUGGCGAAGGCGGCUUUCUGGCUCGUAACUGACGCUGAGGCGCGAAAGCGUGGGGAGCAAACAGG
RNAcentral lists this ribosomal RNA (253 nucleotides) under uncultured bacterium. RNAcentral's name for it is "partial 16S ribosomal RNA". It matches the Rfam family "Bacterial small subunit ribosomal RNA", at positions 524 to 776 of the family's 1533-position model. The record is from RNAcentral.